This is a long non-coding RNA of Paramormyrops kingsleyae, 394 nucleotides long. RefSeq lists it as uncharacterized. The record is from RefSeq and is a predicted model, not a curated record. Lineage: Eukaryota; Metazoa; Chordata; Actinopteri; Osteoglossiformes; Mormyridae.
GAUGUGGUGAAUUUCAAGCACAAAACUGCAGCCUCCGUCAUGCGGAACCUGCAGAAGGAGUUGGUGGAUGUCACGAAAACGACAAAGGUGUCUGGGCUGAUUCAUGCCUCUUUGUCCACAGACAGGCACCUGAUGAUGGAGCACACCAAGAAGCAGCUGGCCAGGGCUUUCAGAGAGAACGUUGCCCUAGCACCUGCAGAGGACGCUCCUGUCCAGCAGACGGGAGGCUCUGGGCGUCUAUGACCUGAGGAACACAGCAGAGGUCUCCUUCCAUGACCGCGAGCAGCUUUCUUUGUUGCAGAAGAGGACGCGCACAGCCCUGGUAGACCACUUCAGACGACGCAGCCUCCACAGCCGGGCUGCACUGGCCCUCUUCCAGGCCCGCUCCAGUGAC